AAUAUACUAGUAUAUGGUUUAGGGGUCGGGAUGUUGACCGUUUACAAGUUUUCAAACAAGAUGGGGUGGGGUGACCCCCUAGGGACUUCCCUUUAAUUUCUUUUCAUUUGUUUUAUUGUCCCCUACAAGAAUAUAUAUGGUUUAGGGGUGGGGAUCUGGACCGUUUACAAGAUAAUAGCACAUUCUCAAAUUGAAUGGGGUGGGGAUGACCCCCGGGGACCUCCCUCUAAUUUUAUUUGAUUUGUUUUAUCG
This 252-nucleotide long non-coding RNA is filed under the name Mytilus galloprovincialis (Mediterranean mussel). Lineage: Eukaryota; Metazoa; Mollusca; Bivalvia; Mytilida; Mytilidae. The record is from RNAcentral.